GGGAGUCGCAAGAGCUGUCGAUGACAGCACCCAGGUGGCCCGAACCUUAAAGGUCACGCCGCUCCCGCGGUGGUUCACCCGCAAGUACGAUUCGCGUCCGGCAGCUCGUACGGUCACUACCCAUGUGAUGGAUGC
RNAcentral lists this non-coding RNA (135 nucleotides) under Pseudomonas aeruginosa PACS2. RNAcentral describes it as "radC RNA". It matches the Rfam family "radC RNA". Lineage: Bacteria; Pseudomonadati; Pseudomonadota; Gammaproteobacteria; Pseudomonadales; Pseudomonadaceae. The record is from RNAcentral.